Aquila chrysaetos chrysaetos is the source of this 2471-nucleotide long non-coding RNA. RefSeq lists it as uncharacterized. NCBI's taxonomy places the organism in Eukaryota, Metazoa, Chordata, Aves, Accipitriformes, Accipitridae. The transcript is spliced from 2 exons. The record is from RefSeq and is a predicted model, not a curated record.
GCCGCCGCGCGGUGAGUCGGUAAGUAACGGCCGCCGCGCGGAGGCAGAGCGGGAGCUCCCUGGCGUUCCCGCCCGAAGCGGCAGGCUCCGUGGGGGGAAGGAGUCGGAGGUCUGGUGAAAGGCUGAUCGAACGGAGUGCGUGGCGUUAGAGAUCUCCGAGCUUAACGCUUGCCUCUGAAAAUCGUCGUUAAUCCUUUUUUUUCCCGUUUCUUCGGGCCUCUUUAUUCCUCCUCCUUGCCUCAACCCCCCCCCCCCCCAUGAAGAAAUCUCCAAACCUGCAAGAAGAAGGAAAGGUGUCCAUACCUUGAAGAUAAACGGCGGUGAGGAAGACGUGACAACAGAAACACGGAGAGGUCACCCAGCUCUGCAGGAAGUCGCUUCCAGCCGGCGAAACGCUUAUGCUAGCAAGCCAGAACUGACUGAUCCAACUUGGAACCUGCAUCUUUGCUGAACUGAGCUGCCAAGACCAAGAGGAGAGCACUUGGUCCCAUGCACAAAUAGGCCUUCACCUGACAACCAGAGUGACAGAACUUGUGUGGGUAGCAGCCUCGGAGCCUAAGGUAUGUUUUAAGUAGUACUGGGGGAGUGAAAUGUGGUUUGUCUGGUAGGUUUUUUUUUUUUUAAUAUAAAUAUAUAUUUAUAUAUAGUAAUUGUCGUCUUCACUUCUGAGAAGAGAGAUCUGAGGCUGCCUUCUGUUCAGGCCAGUAUGGUGCCUGAGUGGAAAAUUUCACUCCUCAGUUUCAGUAAGAUACAACUUAGGCUGGUUCUUGUGAAUAGCUGUAAAAUUAAAGUUACUGCAGCAGAGCUCUGUAAUCAAGAGGUCUCCAUGGACAGCCUAUCAUCCUGAUGAGAGACACUUCUUAAUUAAGCAAAGAUGCCACAUUGUAGCUGAAACAAUUCCUAAGUGUCCCAGUUUCCCUCAUCAUAUCAAUAAGUCUGAAGUUACAGAGCUCCCAACAACAAGGCAUUUUAGAGGAUUUCAAAUUAACGAUAAGUCUAAAAGUUCAACACUCGAGCAUGUGCAGCAUUCAGAGAAUACAUUUUGAAAUGUGUCUGAAGAGCAGUAACACAGUUUUGUACUACUGCAAAGAUCUUUGAAAGGAAGAGUGCAGGUAGCAUCCCAAGUAUUGCUGGGGAGACCUGAGAUCCACACGCUUCUGUGAAAAGCUCAACUUUAGUUGCAGGCAAAUCAACUAAGAAGUAGCCCUUGCAGCUAAGGUUAACUGAUUUCAUGAUUAAACUUGUUCCAAUUAAUGGGAAGACCAGAAAGAAUCUAUGGACAAAAUAUUGGACAAACUGUUUAAGCUAUUGAGGGAGGACGCUGGUGUUUGUGAAGCAGCUGGCAGUGAGAGCCUGGAAGAAAAAAGCAAAACAGCUGCCUGCAGAUAAGCACUAAAUUCAAGCACAGGAGCAAAGUGAAGGGGAACAUGCUGCUAGUGUGCUUCAACAUAUCAAGUGGCAACACUGAAAUGCUGCAUGAGUAUCGAUCAUCUUACUCAGCUGGUUAGUACCCUUAGGUUAUGUCUACACCAGUGUGUAAUAUAGCCCCAGGGAGCGAACCUCGGUGCUCAGUCCCUGAUCAUCUGUUCUGCAUACUAUAUUCUGGAGUAAAAUUGCAAUAGUCCACAUUCAGUAAUUCUAACUGCUCCUGAAGGAUCACCAGUCGAAUGAGGCUGUCUACCAGGGUACCCUGCAAGAGCUACACGUCUAGGAGACUAGGGCACAGGCACACCAAAACCAACACGUGGUCUGGGCCAUGCCUAGUUACAUGGCAACCUGGCAUUUUUGGAACAUGAAAGCCAGAUCUCUGAGAAAUCAAGCAGCAGAGUUACAGGCAAGUCCUCACAGCAUUUUUGGUUGCCUUUCCUGGAAAGAGGCUAGUCCCAAAAUGGCCCACUGCCCAUUUUUCCUGUACCUCUACGCAUGACUAGGAGAGAAUACAAAAGGUGUAGGACAGGAAAUGUUCUCGGAUGUUGUUUCUUAGCUCUCCCCCUCCCUGUUGCCCCCAGGUAAGGGAACCGUAUAUUAAGCUGAAUUGUAUGCUGUGGGCUUUGAACUAGGGAGUUUGUAACCACUGAACAGAGAGAGAGCAUGAAGUGCCCUGGAUUGUCAUGGCAGGAGUGAAGGCACAGGGGCGUGCGCUGCCUAGAAGCAGUGUCUGUAUGAAGACUCAUUGGGUGCAGAUAAAGCCCAUCAGCAGGUUCUCAGUGUGCCUAGUUUGAAAAACAAACAGAAGCAGUGUUAGAGCAAGAGAGUGCCAAGGACUUCACCUGGGCUAAUACUACCUGGCUUCUGUGCCCCUGGCACAUUUUACUGUGUAGAUGUAACAGUCCUGUUCAUUGCCUUGCUUUGCUCCUUCCACAAAUGUUCACGAUAGGCUGAUAUUCCAACUCCGAGGCAAGAGAUGUGUUUUCAGCUAGUUUAUGGGGGAGAACUACCAUUCAGAAUAAAUAAAUAUUUUGGUAACACUA